Long non-coding RNA from Triticum aestivum (bread wheat), 4230 nucleotides. RefSeq lists it as uncharacterized. NCBI's taxonomy places the organism in Eukaryota, Viridiplantae, Streptophyta, Magnoliopsida, Poales, Poaceae. The record is from RefSeq and is a predicted model, not a curated record. The transcript has 3 exons.
UUCACUCUCUCAAUCAACCACUCAAUCCCCGCAAAAAAAAUCAACCACUCAAAAGAAAAACAUUCAGUCUCUCAAUCUCGAGCCUUCUCCUGUCACCGCUGUCUCCCUUCCAUCGACGGCGCCGCCGCAUACUCCUAUCCCCUCCACUGCGUUGGCCGGCCCCUCCUCUCCUCGCCAUCUCUCCUCCAUGUUGCGCGCCGAGCCCGUCAUCCCUUCCCAUGUUGUACUCGGCCGCAUCUUCCUGGCUCGAUUGGUUCGAUCUGCUGCCAUCCACUACCCGUCAGGUUAUUCCGGCGGUGCGGCGGCGGCGAAGCUUGGCGCGACGAUGGAGCCUGCCUGUCUGGCGAUGGGGUGGGAGUCGGAUAGGCGCGCGGCGGUGAUUGUGCAGUCACGGAGACAGCUCUGCAGUCCCGAUGGUGUCGCUGCUGCGGUGGUUCCAUUCCGGCGGCAUCGUCGGCCCGUUCAAAACAGGGCUCGUGCAUGGGGUGGCCCGCCCAUCAAGACAGAGGCAUGGCCGGACAUCGUUAUCGCUCAAAUAUCAGUGCGUUUCUCGCAAUGGAUUACUGGGAAGAUGAAGCAAUGGCCCUCUUCCCUCUCCGUCAAUACAGUUUUACAGGCUAAUCAGCUGGCACCUUAGAAAGGUACACAGCCAUGUACGUAUCCGUGAAUCUGAAGCCUUUCAGGUGUACAGGGUGUACACGUUCUGAAUUUCACAAAGCUACUACUAAUUGCUGUUGGUAAAAACAAACUGGGCUAUGCAUGUCACUCAGCGAGUUUCCUCUUGUACAUAGAAACAUCACAACUACUGACAAAUGCAUUGUAUUGUUAUUCUAAGCGUGUUUUGGUGAAAUAUUUUAAUCUUGGCUCAUAGAAAUCCACUACUGCUUAAGUUAAUCCACUACAUCCAUAUCUGAUAUUGACCAACUACAUCCUGAUCUAAUACAGGCAAAAUCAGGGACCGAAGGAUCAUCUCUUACCAAUGCAUAACCUGUAGAACUCUAUUACUACAUAAGCUGAUCAACUACAUCCUUGUGUAAUACAAGAUAAUAAAUCAUAAAUCAGUGGACCAUAUGUUCCCGAUGCGAAUGCCUCCUUUUGCGUUGUCCGUUUGAUCAUUAGUAUUUAUUUCCAUCAUUAUGCUAGCAAUCAUGUUUUGGAAUUGCCAACUGCAGUACUGCUCCGCCUACAUCGUAAUAUACAAUGCCUCGCCUAUAAAGUUUGAAGAAUCUUAAAAUAUUUGUUAUACUAUAUUACACUACAUGAUAGAUCUGCUGCAGAGAGGUUAUCACUCUUCUACGCUGAGCAUGCCGACAGGAGCUUCUUCAACAGUCCGGUGAAGCACACCAUUUUGGAUCAACUCCUCACAUAGACCCGCAUUGAGGGAGGAGGACGGAGAGGCCGACAACAAGGAGCGGGUGUGGGUGUUCAUCCUCGCUGCUGACCACAAGUGCUGCGAGAAAUUUUGGGAAGAAUUCUAUGCCUCCACUGGUAUGAGCAAAUCACCUGUUGAUUCCUUUUCUCUGUCCAUUGCCUGUUGAAGUAGCUAAUAGAUCGCUUCAGAAUGUUGUGAGCUUGGUUAUUUUACACCGUCUGCUAAUGUUAAGCAAAGAAUGAAGGCUGGGGUGUGUUACAUGUAGGAAACAAUGUUUUACUUAGAUGUAAUAGAUGAUUGAUUACAAAACAACUAUCCAUAAUUUGGUGCAUUCUGUUUUGCAAAAUGAUCAGGUGGUGGUUAAGCUGGUAUCUUGAUCGCGGCAGAAUACUACAUCUCCAGUGUUCAGUGUCAAAGCAAAAGAAUAAUAUACAUAAGUAAUCUACCAAAAGGAAAAGUUAUCUAACCAACAAGUAAUUCUCCAUUACCACGAGUUGACCAUGGCUAUGCCAGAAACAAGGAGAGAAUAGAAAUCCUCAAUAGCAAUGAUGUUGCUACUAUUUCCAUUUCUUAAACAUUAGUUAGGAGUUCAUCUAAUUGGAGUCUAAGCUCCAGCUGCGUAAAAAAGGUAAAAGGAGCAAAAAGACACAAAAUAAAUGAAACUAAGAAAGAACUAAACCGCAAAAUAAAAUUGGGACGUUGUGUGUUUCUGCUUUGGGGCCGCAUGAAUCCAUUAUAGAUUAAAAGCACUCUAUAAGCCAAAUUCCAUGCCUUCUACAGAGGGAGUACUGCCCAUGGGCUCUCUAGAGUUGAAUUUGUCAAUUAAGUAGAUGCUUUAACUAACUUGUAAGUAAAUAGACGAACCAUAUUUUGUUUGAACUAAGCAGUUGCUGCUAAUAUAAUUCUCCCCAGCAUGUUUAAGCAUGUUCAAACUCGGUAACUUGAUGUCUUAAUUGUUCUGGCUAGAUCCUGGACCUUAUGAUAUGAUAUCUACCUAUAACCAGUGAUACGUUUCUGCCUUUGGCUGGAUGUCUUCUUCUUCUGUUAAGGCCACAGUAGGUACGGGCGGGUGUGGCUAUGAAGAAGUUCCCGGAGGCAGCGGACUGGAAAUCGGGUGUGAGCGGCCGAAGAGGCUGGGACCGGCGAGUGGCAGCAGCUGGCUGGAGGCGGCGGGAGGAGCCCGGUAGAAGAAAGCAGGUAAGUAGCGGCGGCCUACAUGUCUAUGGUUUGGUACAUGCCGCCAUCUAAACACUUACAAUGAACAUCAAUGUUUCCGAGCUUUGCUUGUUGAGCCUGUCGUUGCCAUGUAAGCCAGCCACCAAGUGUUCAGAAAAUAUCUGAAGUUAUAUUCUACAGUAGAAUCUAAUCACCUUAUUGUCGUUGUUUUCUGUGUCAGUCAUUAUUUGGAUAACACCCUAUUGUAGAAUCUCGGUGAUGUUAGGACAUUGCAAGCAUUAUUUGAACUUGAAGCGCUUCUUCUUACAAGUAUGAUCAUUUUAUAAUCGUUUCUUUGGUUGUGGUGGAUUAUUUAGUGAACAUAAUUCCUUUUUUAGGUCAUUGCAUGAAAAAUAAGAAUACUUAUAUCACUGAAUUUCUGGUGGUUUUCUUUGGAAGUUAGUUCAGUUAGGCGCUUCUAACUGCUUAAGCUCAAUUUAUCUCCAGUUGCCCUUAAUUACCAGAUGUUGGGUAUUUUCUUCCAUGAAACUGCUCUUCAGUUUGAUAUAAUCUGCAGGAGCAAUCCAGGAGCAUGGUGUGUCACCUAUGUCCUAAUCAAGUGUGUGAUCUCCUAGUGCCUACUGAAUUAUAACGAGUUUUGAACUUUGUUGACUUAUUUUCCUUAUCCUGCUUGUUAGGUUUUCAUGUCAUUCUGCACGCUGCUCAUAAUGUGCAUUUCUUGUUAUUUGCUAGUGGUUGUACUGUACAAAGCUUGGUCUGUUAUUGAAACACAUAAGUGCGGCAGCAAAUUCAUAGUGUACAUUUGUUGUUAUUUGCUAAUGGUUGUACUAAACAAAGCAUGAUCGAAACACAUCCUUUAUGUUAUGUCCAAAAUUAGCUUAUUAGUCCUUUUUAGUGGGGCAAACUUAUAUAUGUCAAUUUUUCCUCCAGCUGUGUAUUACAUAUUGUGAUAAUUGUACAAAGGCUGCCAUAAAAGAUACGCAUGUCUUCAGAUCAGCAAUAUGCCAGGCAAAUAAUGGUCGAAACACAUACCUUAAUUUCUGCUCUGUGUUCAGGCCCUAGCAGAGCUUGAACCUUAUUCAGCAAAUAAUGGUCACUGAGUCUUGGUCGUCACUGGACCACAAUUCUUGACAUACUUCCAUGGACGCUGGAAGUAACAUGAGCUACAGAUAUGCAUCUCAAUGGGGGGUUACUUCUUUCCUCAACAAGUUACAGUACAGUAGGAGAGGGCAAUGAUGCUGACCUGUGACUUGACCUUCCAUGGAAAACUCUGGCUUGACGUGAGGGGGUCGUCGCUUCCAGAGAUCGUCGCCGGUCCGGUAGUCGCUUUAAGAGAUCGUCUCUCGGUCUGGUCGUCGCUUCCAGAGAUCGUCGCCCGGCCUGGUCGUCACUUCCAGGGAUGGGGAUGCCUUCACCAAAUGAGGCAAAAUCUGGCUCGCAGAUAUGUGUCGUCCAUUGGGAAGGUUUCGGUUGUAUACAUGGAAAGAAUCCAACUUGAUAUGUGGAAGGUCUAGGCUGUAUACACGGAAAGACUACAACGUGAUCAUGAAUUGUGAUAUGAUUUCUGCUAUACAUGGAAUACAUGUUAUGUACAAAAGGAAAAAGAGUCCGUUGUUAUGUAAAGGAAAAGAAUGUAAUUUAUGGAGUUCCCAAUUAGGAGUAGAAGAUUAUGGAAGCUAUUA